GUGGUCUGGUUAGUCUCUGGUCAAAUCUCCCGGCUUAACCGGGAGGCGGCGAGGGAAACGGCCAGACUGGAGCGAGUGAGGGGCUAGCGGAACUCAUGGUGUAGGGGUGAAAUCCGUUGAUAUCAUGGGGAACACCAAAAGCGAACGCAGCUAGCUGGCGCUCAGCUGACACUGAAACACGAAAGCGUGGGUAGCGAAUGGGAUUAGAUACCCCAGUAGUCCACGCCCUAAACGAUGUUCUCUGGCUUUUCGGAGUAUCGACCCUCUGAGAGGCGAAGCUAACGCGUUAAGAGAACCGCCUGGGAAGUACGGCCGCAAGGCUAAAACUCAAAAGAAUAGACGGGGACUCGCACAAGCGGUGGAUCAUGUGGUUUAAUUCGACGAUGAACGAAGAACCUCACCAGGGUUUGAAAUCCAGACGAAACUCCGAUGAAAGUUGGAGCCUCUCACAAGGACGGCUGGACAGGUGAUGCAUGGCUGUCGUCAGUUCGUGGCUUGAGUUGUUCCCUUCAGUGGGGAAACGAACGCAACCCUUGUCGCGUGUUACAAGUGUCACGCGAGACUGUCCCGUUUAACGGGAAGGAAGCGAGGAUGACGCCAAGUCAGCAUGUCCCUCUGAUAUCCUGGGCUACACACAUGAUACAAUGGCCGUUACAACAGGUCGCGACGGGGAAACCCCGAGCCAAUCCUUAAAAGCGGCCCCAGUUCGGAUUGAGGUCUGCAACUCGACCUCAUGAAGUUGGAAUCGCUA
RNAcentral lists this ribosomal RNA (751 nucleotides) under uncultured bacterium. RNAcentral describes it as "bacterial SSU rRNA". It matches the Rfam family "Bacterial small subunit ribosomal RNA", at positions 575 to 1337 of the family's 1533-position model. The record is from RNAcentral.